Long non-coding RNA from Manis pentadactyla (Chinese pangolin), 368 nucleotides. RefSeq lists it as uncharacterized. The transcript is spliced from 3 exons. The record is from RefSeq and is a predicted model, not a curated record. NCBI's taxonomy places the organism in Eukaryota, Metazoa, Chordata, Mammalia, Pholidota, Manidae.
GGAAAGCAAAUGUACUGGUAGAGACUUUCCUUCUAACUUUUUCUCUCUUCCUUAACGUUCAAGAGUGGGCUUGCCCAUGUCACCUGUUUGUCUCUCUGUAUUCCACAAUGAGGACAAAAUGUUCCUUUACCCGCAAAAGGAUGGCGAGAGACUGCACUGAAGUGUCUGUGAGGCUGAGUUCUGAAGAAAAAAAAAAUCAUAAACACAAAUAUGCUGCAAUAUGGGAGUGCUUGAUUCAAGGGCCCAGAAAUGGUCACUGCAUUCCUCGAGGAAGACAAAAUCAGGAGACAAGCUACACUUGGCCCUAAUCUGUUCAGAAGUUUAAGGUGUUAUAUGUGACUUAUGAAUGAAGUAUGAUGGAAGAAAGA